RNAcentral lists this ribosomal RNA (492 nucleotides) under uncultured bacterium. Its description in RNAcentral is "partial 16S ribosomal RNA". It matches the Rfam family "Bacterial small subunit ribosomal RNA", at positions 29 to 507 of the family's 1533-position model. The record is from RNAcentral.
AUUGAACGCUGGCGGCAUGCUUUACACAUGCAAGUCGAACGGUAACAGGCCUUCGGGUGCUGACGAGUGGCGAACGGGUGAGUAAUGCAUCGGAACGUACCCAGAGGUGGGGGAUAACGCAGCGCAAGCUGUGCUAAUACCGCAUGUGAUCUGAGGAUGAAAGCGGGGGACCGAGCAGCAAUGUUUGGCCUCGCGCCUUUGGAGCGGCCGAUGUCGGAUUAGCUAGUUGGUGGGGUAAAGGCCUACCAAGGCGACGAUCCGUAGCUGGUCUGAGAGGACGACCGGCCACACUGGGACUGAGACACGGCCCAGACUCCUACGGGAGGCAGCAGUGGGGAAUUUUGGACAAUGGGCGCAAGCCUGAUCCAGCAAUGCCGCGUGCGGGAAGAAGGCCUUCGGGUUGUAAACCGCUUUUGGCAGGAACGAAACGGUGUCCGCUAAUACCGGGCGAUAAUGACGGUACCUGCAGAAUAAGCACCGGCUAACUACGUG